RNAcentral lists this ribosomal RNA (505 nucleotides) under uncultured bacterium. Its description in RNAcentral is "partial 16S ribosomal RNA". It matches the Rfam family "Bacterial small subunit ribosomal RNA", at positions 28 to 507 of the family's 1533-position model. The record is from RNAcentral.
GACGAACGCUGGCGGCGUGCCUAAUACAUGCAAGUCGAACGCACAGUUUAUACCGUAGCUUGCUACACCAUAAACUGUGAGUUGCGAACGGGUGAGUAACGCGUAGGUAACCUGCCUGGUAGCGGGGGAUAACUAUUGGAAACGAUAGCUAAUGCCGCAUAAUAUUGAUUAUUGCAUGAUAAUUGAUUGAAAGAUGCUAUUGCAUCACUACCAGAUGGACCUGCGUUGUAUUAGCUAGUAGGUGAGGUAACGGCUCACCUAGGCGACGAUACAUAGCCGACCUGAGAGGGUGAUCGGCCACACUGGGACUGAGACACGGCCCAGACUCCUACGGGAGGCAGCAGUAGGGAAUCUUCGGCAAUGGACGAAAGUCUGACCGAGCAACGCCGCGUGAGUGAAGAAGGUUUUCGGAUCGUAAAGCUCUGUUGUAAGAGAAGAACGGGUGUGAGAGUGGAAAGUUCACACUGUGACGGUAUCUUAACAGAAAGAGACGGCUAACUACGUG